RNAcentral lists this ribosomal RNA (443 nucleotides) under uncultured bacterium. RNAcentral describes it as "partial 16S ribosomal RNA". It matches the Rfam family "Bacterial small subunit ribosomal RNA", at positions 338 to 795 of the family's 1533-position model. The record is from RNAcentral.
CCUACGGGUGGCAGCAGUGGGGAAUAUUGGGCAAUGGGCGCAAGCCUGACCCAGCAACGCCGCGUGAAGGAAGAAGGCUUUCGGGUUGUAAACUUCUUUUCUCAGGGACGAAGCAAGUGACGGUCCCUGAGGAAUAAGCCACGGCUAACUACGUGCCAGCAGCCGCGGUAAUACGUAGGCGGCAAGCGUUAUCAGGAUUUACUGGGUGUAAAGGGCGUGUAGGCGGGACUGCAAGUCAGAUGUGAAAACCACGGGCUCAACCCGUGGCCUGCAUUUGAAACUGUAGUUCUUGAGUACUGGAGAGGCAGACGGAAUGCCUGGUGUAGCGGUGAAAUGCGUAGAUAUUAGGAGGAACACCAGUGGCGAAGGCGGCCUGCUGGACAGCAACUGACGCUGAGGCGCGAAAGCGUGGGGAGCAAACAGGAUUAGAUACCCGAGUAGUC